CAUGCAAGUCGAACGGAAAGGCCCCUUCGGGGGUACUCGAGUGGCGAACGGGUGAGUAACACGUGGGUGAUCUGCCCUGCACUUUGGGAUAAGCCUGGGAAACUGGGUCUAAUACCGAAUACACCUCAUGGGAUGCAUGUUUUGUGGGGGAAAGCUUUUGCGGUGUGGGAUGGGCCCGCGGCCUAUCAGCUUGUUGGUGAGGUUACGGCUCACCAAGGCGACGACGGGUAGCCGGCCUGAGAGGGUGUCCGGCCACACUGGGACUGAGAUACGGCCCAGACUCCUACGGGAGGCAGCAGUGGGGAAUAUUGCACAAUGGGCGCAAGCCUGAUGCAGCGACGCCGCGUGAGGGAUGACGGCCUUCGGGUUGUAAACCUCUUUCGCCAGGGACGAAGCGCAAGUGACGGUACCUGGAGAAGAAGCACCGGCCAACUACGUGCCAGCAGCCGCGGUAAUACGUAGGGUGCGAGCGUUGUCCGGAAUUACUGGGCGUAAAGAGCUCGUAGGUGGUUUGUCGCGUUGUUCGUGAAAACUCACA
RNAcentral lists this ribosomal RNA (538 nucleotides) under uncultured Mycobacterium sp. Its description in RNAcentral is "bacterial SSU rRNA". It matches the Rfam family "Bacterial small subunit ribosomal RNA", at positions 54 to 606 of the family's 1533-position model. The record is from RNAcentral. Lineage: Bacteria; Bacillati; Actinomycetota; Actinomycetes; Mycobacteriales; Mycobacteriaceae.